RNAcentral lists this ribosomal RNA (457 nucleotides) under uncultured bacterium. Its description in RNAcentral is "partial 16S ribosomal RNA". It matches the Rfam family "Bacterial small subunit ribosomal RNA", at positions 29 to 507 of the family's 1533-position model. The record is from RNAcentral.
AACGAACGCUGGCGGCAUGCCUAACACAUGCAAGUCGAACGAGACCUUCGGGUCUAGUGGCGCACGGUGCGUAACGCGUGGGAACCUGCCCUUAGGUUCGGAAUAACUCCCCGAAAGGGGUGCUAAUACCGGAUAAUGUCUUCGGACCAAAGAUUUAUCGCCUUUGGAUGGGCCCGCGUUGGAUUAGCUAGUUGGUAGGGUAAAAGCCUACCAAGGCGACGAUCCAUAGCCGAUCUGAGAGGAUGAUCAGCCACACUGGCACUGAGACACGGCCCAGACUCCUACGGGAGGACGCAGUAGGAAAUCUUCCGCAAUGGGAGAAAGCGUGUCGGAGAAACGCCGCGUGAGUGAUGAAGGUCUUCGGAUCGGAAAACUCUGGUAUGAGGGAAGAACAAAUGUGUAAGUAACUAUGCACGUCUUGACGGUAAAUAAUCAGAAAGCCACGGCUAACUACGUG